GAUGAAGAACGUAGCGAACGUGCGAAACGUAAUGUGAAUUGCAGAAUUCAGUGAAUCAUCGAAUCUUUGAACGCAUCUUGCGCUCCUUGGUAUUCCGAGGAGCAUGCCUGUUUGAGUGUCGUGAAAUACUCUCAAUUUCAAUCUUUUUGUUUGAAAUUGGAUUUGGGCGUUGUCGUGAAUUCACGACUUGCCCUAAAUGCAUUAGCGAUCCCUGUCUUUGAUCACACAAUGUGAUAAUAAAAAAACAUUGUUACAGUCGAGUCAAGGUUGCUUCUAACUGUCUGUCACCAGACAACCAUUACAUGUCAAUUGACCUCAAAUCAGGUAGGACUACCCGCUGAACUUAAGCAUAUCAAUAAGCGGAGGA
RNAcentral lists this unclassified non-coding RNA (367 nucleotides) under soil metagenome. RNAcentral describes it as "partial contains 5.8S ribosomal RNA, internal transcribed spacer 2, and large subunit ribosomal RNA". The stretch from base 1 to 121 matches the Rfam family "5.8S ribosomal RNA", at positions 35 to 154 of the family's 154-position model. The record is from RNAcentral.